UACGAAGGGGGCUAGCGUUGUUCGGAUUUACUGGGCGUAAAGCGCACGUAGGCGGAUCGUUAAGUCGGGGGUGAAAUCCUGGAGCUCAACUCCAGAACUGCCUUCGAUACUGAGAGUCUUGAGUCCGGGAGAGGUGAGUGGAACUGCGAGUGUAGAGGUGAAAUUCGUAGAUAUUCGCAAGAACACCAGUGGCGAAGGCGGCUCACUGGCCCGGUACUGACGCUGAGGUGCGAAAGCGUGGGGAGCAAACAGG
RNAcentral lists this ribosomal RNA (253 nucleotides) under uncultured bacterium. Its description in RNAcentral is "partial 16S ribosomal RNA". It matches the Rfam family "Bacterial small subunit ribosomal RNA", at positions 524 to 776 of the family's 1533-position model. The record is from RNAcentral.